GGAGACGUGGGAGAGUGGUUUAAUCCAGCGGUCUUGAAAACCGCCGAAGGGCGACCUUCCGUGAGUUCGAAUCUCACCGUCUCCGCCA
RNAcentral lists this transfer RNA (88 nucleotides) under Pseudomonadota bacterium. RNAcentral's name for it is "tRNA-Ser". It matches the Rfam family "tRNA". From Rfam's summary of the family: Transfer RNA (tRNA) molecules are approximately 80 nucleotides in length. Their secondary structure includes four short double-helical elements and three loops (D, anti-codon, and T loops). Lineage: Bacteria; Pseudomonadati; Pseudomonadota. The record is from RNAcentral. RNAcentral also lists the same sequence under 2 other names.